UGGGGAAUAUUGGACAAUGGGCGAAAGCCUGAUCCAGCCAUGCCGCGUGUGUGAAGAAGGCCUUAUGGUUGUAAAGCACUUUAAGCGAGGAGGAGGGUACUGGUAUUAAUACUACCAGGUACUGGACGUUACUCGCAGAAUAAGCACCGGCUAACUCUGUGCCAGCAGCCGCGGUAAUACAGAGGGUGCGAGCGUUAAUCGGAUUUACUGGGCGUAAAGCGUGCGUAGGCGGCUAAUUGAGUCGGAUGUGAAAUCCCCGAGCUUAACUUGGGAAUUGCAUUCGAUACUGGUUAGCUAGAGUGUGGGAGAGGAUGGUAGAAUUCCAGGUGUAGCGGUGAAAUGCGUAGAGAUCUGGAGGAAUACCGAUGGCGAAGGCAGCCAUCUGGCCUAAUACUGACGCUGAGGUACGAAAGCAUGGGGAGCAAACAGG
RNAcentral lists this ribosomal RNA (430 nucleotides) under Pseudomonadota bacterium. RNAcentral's name for it is "Proteobacteria bacterium partial 16S ribosomal RNA". It matches the Rfam family "Bacterial small subunit ribosomal RNA", at positions 355 to 776 of the family's 1533-position model. The record is from RNAcentral. Lineage: Bacteria; Pseudomonadati; Pseudomonadota.